AGUGAACGCUGGCGGUAGGCCUAACACAUGCAAGUCGAACGGCAGCACAGUAAGAGCUUGCUCUUACGGGUGGCGAGUGGCGGACGGGUGAGGAAUACAUCGGAAUCUACUUUUUCGUGGGGGAUAACGUAGGUAAACUUACGCUAAUACCGCAUACGACCUACGGGUGAAAGCAGGGGAUCUUCGGACCUUGCUCGAUUGAAUGAGCCGAUGUCGGAUUAGCUAGUUGGCGGGGUAAAGGCCCACCAAGGCGACGAUCCGUAGCUGGUCUGAGAGGAUGAUCAGCCACAAUGGAACUGAGACUCGGUCCAGACUCCUACGGGAGGCAGCAGUGGGGAAUAUUGGACAAUGGGCGCAAGCCUGAUCCAGCCAUACCGCGUGGGUGAAGAAGGACUUCGGGUUGUAAAGCCCUUUUGUUGGGAAAGAAAAGCAGCAGGUUAAUACCCCGCUGUUCUGACGGUACCCAAAGAAUAAGCACCGGCUAACUUCGUG
RNAcentral lists this ribosomal RNA (492 nucleotides) under uncultured bacterium. RNAcentral's name for it is "partial 16S ribosomal RNA". It matches the Rfam family "Bacterial small subunit ribosomal RNA", at positions 29 to 507 of the family's 1533-position model. The record is from RNAcentral.